GAUGAACGCUGGCGGCGUGCCUAAUACAUGCAAGUCGAGCGAACAGACGAGGAGCUUGCUCCUCUGACGUUAGCGGCGGACGGGUGAGUAACACGUGGAUAACCUACUUAUAAUACUGGGAUAACUUCGGGAAACCGGAGCUACUACCGGAUAAUAUAUUGAACCGCAUGGUUCAAUAGUGAAAGACGCCUUUGCUGUUACUUUUAGAUGAUUCCGGGCCGCAUUAGCUAGUUGGUAAGGUAACGGCUUACCAAGGCAACGAUGCGCAGCCGACCUGAGAGGGUGAUCGGCCACACUGGAACUGAGACACGGUCCAGACUCCUACGGGAGGCAGCAGUAGGGAAUCUUCCGCAAUGGGCGAAAGCCUGACGGAGCAACGCCGCGUGAGUGAUGAAGGUCUUCGGAUCGUAAAACUCUGUUAUUAGGGAAGAACAAAUGUGUAAGUAACUAUGCACGUCUUGACGGUACCUAAUCAGAAAGCCACGGCUAACUACGUG
RNAcentral lists this ribosomal RNA (497 nucleotides) under uncultured bacterium. Its description in RNAcentral is "partial 16S ribosomal RNA". It matches the Rfam family "Bacterial small subunit ribosomal RNA", at positions 28 to 507 of the family's 1533-position model. The record is from RNAcentral.